GAACACACUGGUGGAGAAACUACUGUAAUAUCCAUGGUCCGUGAUAUUCCAAAGAUAUCUUUGCUUCCAUUUAUUCACAAUUUGAGCCCUAUCUCUUCUAAGGCACUGGCCUCUCAGUACUGCUGCAGAUAAUUCAGUGUUGGCCUCUCAUGGUCACAGUUUAUGACUCUCACCCAUCUACAAUCCUGGAGAAUUCCCCUGAAGCUGAUGUCCACUAUCACCUGAUCUGGAGAUUCCAUAUCACGCUCUGCUGCCAUUAGAGACUUCCAUAUUGACACAAUGUUUAUCUACCUCUUUCUGACAAAUAAAUUGCAAAAUAAACCACACGUCAUUCCACGCUGCUCUCUGUCUUACCUUGAUGUGGAAGGGGUCCCCAGUGGAGGAAUUGCUAGGUGACUUCCAGCCAUGCCCCAGCAUGAAUCACCUGCUUGUAAAAGGUGAGACAAUGGCAUCUGUGUUUCCAAAGCCAGCUACUCUGUUUUCUAACUCAUCCCUCAAGCAGAACACGUGGGGAAGGGCUUCCUGGAGGAAGUAUCUUCAUCAUUCGUGCCGAAGCCUAGCUGCGUAUCAGAAUCACAUGGUAAAUCUUAUUUAAAAUUACAGAGCUUCUGGAGUUUCCAAUCCAAAAUAUGUUGGCUAGAGCCUAGGAAGAUGUAUUUUUAACCAGCAUUGCUGUGGAAUCCCCCUGAAUAUAGAGGAUCUUCUAGUGCAUAGGAUCAAACCAGAGGAAGAACAUCUGUGGUAUGAGGCUUCUGGAAAGGAGGCAGUUCCAUCGCCUGGUGAGAGUCGAGACGAUUGUUGCGCUUAUGACCAUCUUGGGUAAAGUCUCUGGUCGCACAUAGUUUACAGGUUUGAUCAUUACUGCACUUCUCUGAGAUGAUAGAGGGAUCAUAAAAGGACCUUGUUAGAGCUUUCUCAUUAUUCCUCACAACUUUCAAAUAAAUACUGACCAGAAAAACUAGAGUAAGCUACCUAAGAGACCCUGAAGGAUAUUCUUAGUGCGUGUCUUCAACAAGCCUUGUGAGGUGGUCAUUUCUUACACUGUCACUUCGGACUCAACAACCGAGUCCAUCCUCUGCUCAGGUGAUAACCAGGAGAUGUCUCAGGCUUGCUUCAAGUAAUCCUUCAAACUUGGAGGAGGCUUGGAAGGAUGUGUUCCAGACGUCGGCCCUGCUUGAAUCUACUUAUCUUCUUCUCACACAGGAUCUCGUCCCCUUUGCUAGCAGGUUUUGAGUGCUCUGGGCCGAGAACAGGGGAUGUCUGUCAUGGUGAUCCAGGAGACAUGGGCUGGCUGAUGUCACCAUUGUCAACCUACAAGAAAUGUAUUCUCUCCAGGUUGUUUUUGAAGACAGCAAAACCAUCAAGUGCCCCUUCUCCACAGUAGAGGUUUUCAGAGGGUGGCCCAUGGACUCUGAAUCAGCACACCCUGGGUGGUUGCUAAAAAGUCUCCAUUUUUGGAUCCCUCUCCUGGGCUACUGAAUCAGGGCUUCUGCUGCUGUCGAGAGUCCAUGUUUUUAGCAAUUUCUCCAGCGACAAGUCAUCAUGACCAAAUGCUGCUCUGGAGACCCUUUCCUUGCCUCCCACUCUGUCCAUACUCCUGGAGUGGUGUUAACAGUGAUUAGAGCUGGAUUUGCCCAGAAUACAGUUCACAGCUCCUACCAGAGCCCCCUCCAGUCGAAGACCUGCCCGUGCUCCAUCAGCCGUAUUUCUAGCAACACCACAGAAGGCAUUUUUCAGGAGCUCACUCCACUCCCAAGCUUGUGUGCUUGACUCCCUUUUUCAUGUGACUCUCAUCUUCUGCUUCCAACUCGGCAUCCUGUACUUUUAAUCUGCAUUUUGAGCUCCAUGGUGUUCAGCCCAUGUUCAACAUCCCCAACAUGAAAUGCACUCCGUUCUGCCCAGAGCCAUGCCGAACAAGAAACAUGAGCGCGGCCGUGGGGCCUGAGGUCCUGGUCUGUGAUCUUUCCCCACAGCUGACUAGCAGUGGAAUGUUUAACUUCUGUUUGAGAGAGGACUGUGAAAACGCCCGACGCCCAACAUCAAGACCAUCUGCCCUUUGAGAGUGAGGACUGCGCUGGUUCUCCUCGUCUCUUCCGAUCUGUACACCACCCAUCCAUCUUACCCUUGGUCAACCAUUGAUUCAGCGUGUGUGUUCAUGCAUGCGUGCAUCUAUGUGCCUGUGUUCAUCGCCUACUGUGUACCAGGCCAUGUUACUGGGAUCAACCUCAGUUCCUCUUGUCCUGUUUAUAAAUACCCAUAACAAACAGAUUUAAU
This is a long non-coding RNA of Equus caballus (horse), 2274 nucleotides long. The record is from Ensembl. Lineage: Eukaryota; Metazoa; Chordata; Mammalia; Perissodactyla; Equidae.